This is a long non-coding RNA of Xiphophorus couchianus (Monterrey platyfish), 1070 nucleotides long. RefSeq lists it as uncharacterized. The transcript has 3 exons. Lineage: Eukaryota; Metazoa; Chordata; Actinopteri; Cyprinodontiformes; Poeciliidae. The record is from RefSeq and is a predicted model, not a curated record.
AUAAAACAGAAGACCUGCUCCACCUGCUGAUCUACUGGUUGGAAGAGAUUGUGGAAAAGCGAGACAAGACAACAACUUUUGACUAAUGAGGAGAGAGAAGACACAGAGGACUGAGGAGACGCAGAAAAUCCUGCUGGAAAUCAAUAAAAAUGUUUCCUGAUGGAACAGGGGGACGGCUGAGGACAGGACACAACAUAAAGAGACAGAGACCAUGUGAAAUUCAAGGAUGGCCUUUCAACCCUGGAUUUCAUUUAUGCUUUGGAGCUUCAUGCUUCUGUGUUCAGGCCCUUUGUGUGCGGAAAAGCUGACAUCAGAAAUGUGAGAGGAAAUCUUUGAAGUUCAGCUCAGCGAAAAGGGCAGCACCAGACGACAAGAAGAAACCAGACUGCUAGGAUUCUCCUUGAGACAGACCAAACCUCGCUUUCCUGUUCAAACUCUGACAAGAUACCAAAGCCCAAGACAUACGAUCAGUUUCAAAGAAGACAUGAACUUUGAAUUACAAAACUCUUUGGACUUUAUUAAGUUCAAAUACAGAAUCACAAAACAUAAAUGUGGAUGUUGGCCUGUGAAGGCAGAUGUUAACUUGUGAAACCUGCUCUGUCAAAGUUCUGACUCUGCUGCAUUGUGGUUGUUUGACAACCUUUAAAUUUUAGACUCAUUUAUUUCCAAGUCCACCAUGUUUUCUAGUCUUGUGUAGUUUUCCACAUAGGAUUCCCAAGUUAGUGGAUGCACUAGGCCACUGUCUCUGGAGGUCCUCAAACUGUCCCUAAAGACGGUCAUGGCCACAUUGACUGCUGAUUGACUCGGUCAUAAACUGUCCCAAUUCCUCCUGGGAGUCUGGGAACCUACAGUCUGUUCUGCCAAACCCAGGAGUAAAAUAUGCAUCAAAACAGGACACAUAGUUUAGUUAUAUAUUUAUAUUUCUUCAUUCAACUGUCACUACCAACUGCUACGACUAUUGUUGAAAACUGUUGUAAUGUUUAAUUGUAUUUACAUAUAAAUAUUAGAAAUGAAAAUGUUUAUGUCAUCAGAAACUGUUCCAAUAAAAAGUGACAUAUUAUUAACACAUG